AUUCUGACUGUGCGAAGGUAGCAUAAUAAAUUGUCUUUUAAAUGAAGGCUUGAAUGAAAGGUUGGACAAAGUGUCAUCUGUUUCUUAAAUAUUUAUUGAAUUUGACUUUCAAGUGAAAAGGCUUGAAUAAAUUAAAAAGACGAUAAGACCCUAUAAAUCUUUACAAUAAAUAUAUUUUAUAUUUUAGUUUAUUAAGUGUAUAAGAUAUUGAAUAUAUAGUUGUUUCGCUGGGGCGGCGUGGAUAUAUUAAUAAACUGUCUAUACAUUAAAACCAAUAAUUAUUGAUUAAUAAGAAUGAUCCUUAAACAGAUUAGAAGAUUAAGAUACUUUAGGGAUAACAGCGUUAUUUUUUUUGAGAGUUCUUAUCGAAGAAAAAGUUUGCGACCUCGAUGUUGAAUUAAAGUAUCUUUAUGGUGCAGCCGCUUAAGAGAU
Molecule: ribosomal RNA, 432 nt
Filed under: Pagurus brachiomastus
Lineage: Eukaryota; Metazoa; Arthropoda; Malacostraca; Decapoda; Paguridae
Description: partial 16S ribosomal RNA
Rfam family: Bacterial large subunit ribosomal RNA
Source: RNAcentral